Molecule: long non-coding RNA, 203 nt
Filed under: Trifolium pratense (red clover)
Lineage: Eukaryota; Viridiplantae; Streptophyta; Magnoliopsida; Fabales; Fabaceae
Description: long non-coding RNA (TPRA_LNC007475)
Source: RNAcentral
GUAUUUUUCGUGGGGCUACUUAUUUCAAUCGCAGCGCGAUUUUGCCAAUGCCAGAUAGAUCAAAACGUGUGCUACAGUGCCGCGUACAGCUUUUUACUUUAUUCCUUGAUGAUGUGUCAGUGCACUAAUGGCUGGAUCCCUUUUUAAUUGCACGUGAUUGUUCUUUGGGAGGAUAUAUAUAGAUGAGCUUUUUAACCUAAGGG